GAUGAACGCUGGCGGCGUGCCUAAUACAUGCAAGUCGAACGCACAGCGAAAGGUGCUUGCACCUUUCAAGUGAGUGGCGAACGGGUGAGUAACACGUGGACAACCUGCCUCAAGGCUGGGGAUAACAUUUGGAAACAGAUGCUAAUACCGAAUAAAACUCAGUGUCGCAUGACACAAAGUUAAAAGGCGCUUUGGCGUCACCUAGAGAUGGAUCCGCGGUGCAUUAGUUAGUUGGUGGGGUAAAGGCCUACCAAGACAAUGAUGCAUAGCCGAGUUGAGAGACUGAACGGCAACAUUGGGACUGAGACACGGCCCAAACUCCUACGGGAGGCUGCAGUAGGGAAUCUUCCACAAUGGGCGAAAGCCUGAUGGAGCAACGCCGCGUGUGUGAUGAAGGCUUUCGGGUCGUAAAGCACUGUUGUAUGGGAAGAACAGCUAGAAUAGGGAAUGAUUUUAGUUUGACGGUACCAUACCAGAAAGGGACGGCUAAAUACGUGCCAGCAGCCGCCGUAA
This 513-nucleotide ribosomal RNA is filed under the name uncultured bacterium. RNAcentral's name for it is "partial 16S ribosomal RNA". It matches the Rfam family "Bacterial small subunit ribosomal RNA", at positions 28 to 523 of the family's 1533-position model. The record is from RNAcentral.